Molecule: ribosomal RNA, 284 nt
Filed under: Segatella copri DSM 18205
Lineage: Bacteria; Pseudomonadati; Bacteroidota; Bacteroidia; Bacteroidales; Prevotellaceae
Description: Prevotella copri DSM 18205 partial 16S ribosomal RNA
Rfam family: Bacterial small subunit ribosomal RNA
Source: RNAcentral
UAUUUUCCUUGUGUGCCAGCCGCCGCGGUAAUACGGAAGGUCCGGGCGUUAUCCGGAUUUAUUGGGUUUAAAGGGAGCGUAGGCCGGAGAUUAAGCGUGUUGUGAAAUGUAGAUGCUCAACAUCUGAACUGCAGCGCGAACUGGUUUCCUUGAGUACGCAUAAAGUGGGCGGAAUUCGUGGUGUAGCGGUGAAAUGCUUAGAUAUCACGAAGAACUCCGAUUGCGAAGGCAGCUCACUGGGGCGCAACUGACGCUGAAGCUCGAAAGCGCGGGUAUCGAACAGG